UACGGAUGAUGCAAGCGUUAUCCGGAUUUAUUGGGUCUAAAGGGUCCGUAGGCGGGCUAAUAAGUCAGCGGUGAAAUCGAGCAGCUUAACUGUUCAACUGCCAUUGAAACAGUUGGUCUUGAGUGAAUUUGAAGUUGCCGGAAUAUGUAGUGUAGCGGUGAAAUGCAUAGAUAUUACAUAGAACACCAAUUGCGAAGGCAGGUAACUAAGAUUUAACUGACGCUGAUGGACGAAAGCGUGGGGAGCGAACAGGAUUAGA
This 259-nucleotide ribosomal RNA is filed under the name uncultured prokaryote. RNAcentral describes it as "partial 16S ribosomal RNA". It matches the Rfam family "Bacterial small subunit ribosomal RNA", at positions 524 to 782 of the family's 1533-position model. The record is from RNAcentral.